GAUGAACGCUGGCGGCGUGCCUAAUACAUGCAAGUCGAGCGAACAGACGAGGAGCUUGCUCCUUUGACGUUAGCGGCGGACGGGUGAGUAACACGUGGGUAACCUACCUAUAAGACUGGGAUAACUUCGGGAAACCGGAGCUAAUACCGGAUAAUAUUUCGAACCCCAUGGUUCGAUAGUGAAAGAUGGCUUUGCUAUCACUUAUAGAUGGACCUGCGCCGUAUUAGCUAGUUGGUAAGGUAACGGCUUACCAAGGCAACGAUACGUAGCCGACCUGAGAGGGUGAUCGGCCACACUGGAACUGAGACACGGUCCAGACUCCUACGGGAGGCAGCAGUAGGGAAUCUUCCGCAAUGGGCGAAAGCCUGACGGAGCAACGCCGCGUGAGUGAUGAAGGUCUUCGGAUCGUAAAACUCUGUUAUUAGGGAAGAACAAACGUGUAAGUAACUGUGCACGUCUUGACGGUACCUAAUCAGAAAGCCACGGCUAACUACGUG
RNAcentral lists this ribosomal RNA (497 nucleotides) under uncultured bacterium. RNAcentral describes it as "partial 16S ribosomal RNA". It matches the Rfam family "Bacterial small subunit ribosomal RNA", at positions 28 to 507 of the family's 1533-position model. The record is from RNAcentral.